This 505-nucleotide ribosomal RNA is filed under the name uncultured bacterium. RNAcentral describes it as "partial 16S ribosomal RNA". It matches the Rfam family "Bacterial small subunit ribosomal RNA", at positions 28 to 507 of the family's 1533-position model. The record is from RNAcentral.
GACGAACGCUGGCGGCGUGCCUAAUACAUGCAAGUAGAACGCACAGUUUAUACCGUAGCUUGCUACACCAUACACUGUGAGUUGCGAACGGGUGAGUAACGCGUAGGUAACCUGCCUGGUAGCGGGGGAUAACUAUUGGAAACGAUAGCUAAUACCGCAUAAUAUUAAUUAUUGCAUGAUAAUUGAUUGAAAGAUGCAAUUGCAUCACUACCAGAUGGACCUGCGUUGUAUUAGCUAGUAGGUGAGGUAACGGCUCACCUAGGCGACGAUACAUAGCCGACCUGAGAGGGUGAUCGGCCACACUGGGACUGAGACACGGCCCAGACUCCUACGGGAGGCAGCAGUAGGGAAUCUUCGGCAAUGGACGAAAGUCUGACCGAGCAACGCCGCGUGAGUGAAGAAGGUUUUCGGAUCGUAAAGCUCUGUUGUAAGAGAAGAACGGGUGUGAGAGUGGAAAGUUCACAAUGUGACGGUAUCUGACCAGAAAGGGACGGCUAACUACGUG